RNAcentral lists this ribosomal RNA (454 nucleotides) under uncultured bacterium. Its description in RNAcentral is "partial 16S ribosomal RNA". It matches the Rfam family "Bacterial small subunit ribosomal RNA", at positions 28 to 507 of the family's 1533-position model. The record is from RNAcentral.
GAUGAACGCUGGCAGAGUGCUUAACACAUGCAAGUCUACCUGAACUUCGGUUUUUGUGGCGGACGCGAGAGUCACGCGUGUAGGACAUGCCUCACAGUUAGGGACAACAUUUGGAAAUGAAUGCUAAUACCUGGUAUUAUGAUUUUAGGGCAUCCUAGGAUUAUGAGAGCGAUAUGUGCUGUGAGAGAGCUGUGCGUCCCAUUAGCUCGUUGGAGAGGUAGCUGCUCACAAAGGCGAUGAUGGGUAGCCGGCCUGAGAGGGUGAACGGCCACAAGGGGAGUGAGACACCGCACUUACCCACACGGGAGGGAGGAGUGGGGAAUAGUGGACAAUGGACCAAAAGGAUGAAGCAGCAAUUCGGUGUGGACGAUGACGUUUUGCGGAAAGAAAAGUGUUUUCAGUUGCGAAGAAAAAAAUGACGGUACCAACAGAAGAAGCGACGGCUAAAUACGUG